UUGAACGCUGGCGGCAGGCCUAACACAUGCAAGUCGAGCGGAUGAAGGGAGCUUGCUCCUGGAUUCAGCGGCGGACGGGUGAGUAAUGCCUAGGAAUCUGCCUGGUAGUGGGGGAUAACGUCCGGAAACGGGCGCUAAUACCGCAUACGUCCUGAGGGAGAAAGUGGGGGAUCUUCGGACCUCACGCUAUCAGAUGAGCCUAGGUCGGAUUAGCUAGUUGGUGGGGUAAAGGCCUACCAAGGCGACGAUCCGUAACUGGUCUGAGAGGAUGAUCAGUCACACUGGAACUGAGACACGGUCCAGACUCCUACGGGAGGCAGCAGUGGGGAAUAUUGGACAAUGGGCGAUAGCCUGAUCCAGCCAUGCCGCGUGUGUGAAGAAGGUCUUCGGAUUGUAAAGCACUUUAAGUUGGGAGGAAGGGCAGUAAGUUAAUACCUUGCUGUUUUGACGUUACCAACAGAAUAAGCACCGGCUAACUUCGUG
This 483-nucleotide ribosomal RNA is filed under the name uncultured bacterium. RNAcentral describes it as "partial 16S ribosomal RNA". It matches the Rfam family "Bacterial small subunit ribosomal RNA", at positions 30 to 507 of the family's 1533-position model. The record is from RNAcentral.